AGACGGCCGAUCGGACUUUGG
Molecule: small nuclear RNA, 21 nt
Filed under: Arabidopsis thaliana (thale cress)
Lineage: Eukaryota; Viridiplantae; Streptophyta; Magnoliopsida; Brassicales; Brassicaceae
Description: snRNA_09071
Source: RNAcentral